GACAGAGGGUGCAAACGUUGCUCGGAAUCAUUGGGCGUAAAGCGCGUGUAGGCGGCUUGUUACGUCGGGUGUGAAAGCCCAGGGCUCAACCCUGGCAGUGCACCCGAAACGGGGAAACUGGAGUACUGGAGAGGCGAGUGGAAUUCCUGGUGUAGAGGUGAAAUUCGUAGAUAUCAGGAGGAACACCGGUGGCGAAGGCGACUCGCUGGCCAGUAACUGACGCUGAGACGCGAAAGCGUGGGGAGCAAACAGG
RNAcentral lists this ribosomal RNA (253 nucleotides) under uncultured bacterium. RNAcentral describes it as "partial 16S ribosomal RNA". It matches the Rfam family "Bacterial small subunit ribosomal RNA", at positions 524 to 776 of the family's 1533-position model. The record is from RNAcentral.